This is a long non-coding RNA of Spodoptera litura, 506 nucleotides long. RefSeq lists it as uncharacterized. The record is from RefSeq and is a predicted model, not a curated record. NCBI's taxonomy places the organism in Eukaryota, Metazoa, Arthropoda, Insecta, Lepidoptera, Noctuidae.
GUCAGCAAUAACGGAAGUUCAUCCUCUGUAUAUAAUAUCAACGGUGGUGCUGGUAAUGGAGGUAACAGUUAUGGAGGCGGUCCAGCUGGAGGUGGUGGCUUCAAAAUAGCAUAUUAUGAUGACGAUAAUAUAAAUAAAAAAAGAUUGGGAAGGCAAACAUAUAAUUUUGGUACCGGAGGAAGCAGUAGUGGGAGUGGACACGGUGGAAGUGGUGGACAAGUUGGAGAUAACUACUACGGAAACGCCGGAAAAACCACAAAUUCAAACAACCAAAACGGUUACGGCAUCUCUUUGCUAGGAGGUGUCGCUAAAGGAGUUAGUAAUGAUGCUUAUUAUUCCCAGCCGCCAGCCUAUCCGUACCCUUCCCAGCCGCCAGCCUAUCCGUACCCUGACUUAAAUGCGUAUGGUUACCUAAAUCCCCUAUUUCUGCAAUAGUGAAAAUGGUAUGCUGAUGUUAAAUGUUAUGUUAUCUUCUUCGAUCAUCAGUUGUUAUUGUUGAUCGAAGG